RNAcentral lists this ribosomal RNA (663 nucleotides) under Triticum aestivum (bread wheat). RNAcentral describes it as "partial small subunit ribosomal RNA". The record is from RNAcentral. Lineage: Eukaryota; Viridiplantae; Streptophyta; Magnoliopsida; Poales; Poaceae.
AUGGGCGAUUUCAAAGUAGAAAUAGAUGUUCAGACCUACUUGACGAUUGUAGGCGGCAAAAGAGUUUACAGAAGGGGCAAAACAUGGGAUUUCAUGGUCGGUCGGGACUUGUAUGUGGCGCGGAUAAAGGAGGUUGUGGAGGAGAAGUUCAAGUGGUCUCCUGAUCAGAGAAUGACCAUUUGGUAUGGAACAGGAUAUAACACCACCCCAUUGAUCUCUGAAUCAGAGAUAGCUGAAUUGUUUGAUAGGUGUUCUAACACAAAAAUAGUAAGGUUUGGUGUGACCAUUGAGAACAAACAGCAACACAAGGAACAAGCUCCUGUCAUGGCCGAGGAUAUGGAUGAUCAACCUAUUCAUGCUCCAUUCUUUGCUUGGCCGAAGCAAGCCUAUGAAGGCGAGUAUGAGGAUGAUGAGCCUGUAGGAUGCGGUGAGGAGAACACCUAUUUGCAUGAGAAUGCGGAGUCAAAGGAGAAUGUCGAGCCACAGAAAAAUGUCGAGCCAAAGGCUGCAAGAGUACCAUUGGGAACACUAGAUGUUGACAACUCUUAUGAUCCAUAUCAUGUGCGAGGGGAUGAUGAGACAUUACUCGCAAACAAUGUGGCUCCUACUUAUCUCCACGAUAAAAAAAAAUCCUUGAAUCGAAGUAGGAGCCACAUUUCCUAA